Molecule: RNA transcript, 1003 nt
Organism: Populus euphratica (Euphrates poplar)
Lineage: Eukaryota; Viridiplantae; Streptophyta; Magnoliopsida; Malpighiales; Salicaceae
Exons: 4
Source: RefSeq, a predicted model, not a curated record
AAACUUGAUAUUGCUUGGUUUGUCUUCCAUGGAUAUUGAUAAAAAGGUGAUAUGCAUGCCUACUGGAAAAUGUACUUCUUCUUGCUGGGUCUGAAAUUCAAACUUAUGUUCACUAGGACCUUUCAAUAAUGCUAGGUCAUUAAUCAGAAUUCAAAAUAUGAGACUGCUGAUGGUGCAUCAGUUAGAGAUACCUUUGAUUCACAUAUUCAGGAUUCAGAGUUUCGGCCAUUUUUGGCAUAUAAGUAGGGCACCUAAGUUUCUUUCUCCGGUGACACACUUAUUGGUGAGGUUUGGUUGUGAUCUGGAUGUCAAAUAAUACCAACGAAAAGUGAGAAAGGGAAUCUUCUUUAAAUUGGAUUUGAGAAGGUUUAUGAUCACUCGAGUCAGAGAGGACCGUGAGAAAGUGAUGCAGGUAGCGUUAUAUAUUAUAUCUUACUGUGAAGAAAUUAGUUCCAAAAAGAAGAUACUUUGCCUGGGUUUUAUUUGUCCAGACUGAAGUUUCCAAAGUGCUCUGUACAUGCAAUGAAGCUUUAGCUUACGAACAUAAUAUGGGGAGAGGCUGAAGAUAGUAAUGACCAUAUCGUGCCAUAUCCAGAGGCAAGUGAAGAUUAUUGCAAGAAAAAGGAAUCGAGUGAAGACGCUAGCACCAUUAAAUCUAGUGAGCAGAAGGCACCUGGGGCUAAAGUUGAUACCGAUGGUAGAAAGCUGGAGAGCAUUUCGAAUGUUGACGCAAGUGAAGGAACUUCUUCCUUGGGACUUGACAUGGACCGAUGGCAUAACCUGUCCUCACCUAAUGCUGCCAAAACUGAGCAGGAUUCCUUGGAAACUUCAAUCUCUAACAAUCUAACUGAGAUUACCAAACUCGAUUCAUCAGAAGAUCAUCUUGAUAAGGACACUGAGAUUUUUCAAAAUCCUCAUGAAGGUAAAGAGCAAGGUGAUUUUCAUGAUAAUGGCUGGGCUAGCCUUGGAAGCUUUGAUGAUCUUGAUCGAAUUUUUAGGUAAA